RNAcentral lists this long non-coding RNA (510 nucleotides) under Phasianus colchicus (ring-necked pheasant). RNAcentral's name for it is "lncRNA (ENSPCLG00000003056.1)". The record is from RNAcentral. Lineage: Eukaryota; Metazoa; Chordata; Aves; Galliformes; Phasianidae.
UAUCCCCUAUCAUCCACUGUUGUGAAUAAUCAAGGUUUAGGUAACAAAUAGAACAUUGUUGCAAGAAAGCAUUUGAACUCUCAAUGGUUAUUUAUUCAUUCUGACAUAUACAGAAACAUUUAUUCCUCUUUCCCAAAUACAGAAACAAUGAAAUUCAGGAAAAGACUUGGGUACCUAAAUUAAGGCAAAAUACCAAGAUUGAGAGCAGACCCUGAAGUCCACAGCCAACCUUUCCCAGACAUUCUCUUUAGACCUCUAUGGAUGUCAACAUAGCAGACUUACUCAGGUUAGGCAAAUGUAUGGGAACUGCUGAAUCAUGGACUGAGACCCUGACUGAUCACCUGAGGUGAGCACUGAGUCAGCUGUGGGAGCACAGGUGAGGGCAAUUCAGAAGGGGUGGAGCCUGGCUGCACCUCUCCUAAACCCAUUUAAGGGCUGACUGCCACUGAAGAAGGAUCUCUUUCUCUGGAGAUUGCUCCUUGUGGAGUUUUCUGUGAGCCUAUAACAAUG